AUUAAGUUAAUUUUUCAGUUUCUAGAUACAAUAUUUUAACUCUUCGUCUUAUUUAAAAUUUUUCUUGAUUAAUAUUUUUAUUAUUACUGGAUGAUAAAACAUAAAUAAUAUUUUAUGCGUGACUAAUUUUUUUAAGUUUUUAUAUAAUUUUUUAAAUAAGAGGAAUGAUUAAACGAUUAGACACAGAAAU
This 190-nucleotide microRNA precursor is filed under the name Oryza brachyantha (malo sina). Its description in RNAcentral is "MIR812 microRNA precursor family". It matches the Rfam family "MIR812 microRNA precursor family". The record is from Rfam by way of RNAcentral. Lineage: Eukaryota; Viridiplantae; Streptophyta; Magnoliopsida; Poales; Poaceae.